GGAGGAUAAGAAACUAAAUAGGAUUCCCUCAGUAAUGGCGAAUGAACAGGGACCAGCUCAGCAUGGAAAUUGGGGCCUCCGGCCUUGAAUUGUAGUCUCGAGAUGUACAGCCAACGGAGGCGCAGAUGUAAGCCUCUUGGAAAAGAGCAUCAACGAGGGUGAGAGUCCCGUUUGUCAUCUGCAGUCCCCCGUGCACGGCGUAUCUUCUAAGAGUCGCGUUCCUCGGAAUUGGAGCGUAAAGUGGGUGGUAAAUUUCAUCUCAAGCUAAAUAUUGGUUCGAGACCGAUAGCAAACAAGUACCAUGAGGGAAAGGUGAAAAGGACUUUGAAAAGAGAGUUAAAAGUGCCUGAAAUUGCUGAAAGGGAAGCGAAUGGAACCAGUGUUGCUUGGCGAGAUUGUCGUGCGCUAAGGUAUCCCCGGACGCGCAUGCUGUUUCUUGCCUUGUGUGUCAACGCCUGUUCGCGAUCGAGGAAAACUCCAGGGACAUGGUAGCUUGCCCCCGGGCGGGUGAAUGUGCCUGGUAGAACUCAUUUGCGAACUGAUCCCAUCGUGUCUGGUUGCAGCGCGUUGCGUCUCCGCGACGACCUCGGCCGGGGAGCUCGCUCCCGGCGCCGGGGGGCUCGGGUGACCAGGGCGCUUCCCUGACGCAUAGACGAUGACUAAAUGGUUCUAUUCGACCCGUCUUGAAACACGGACCAAGGAGUCUAACAUAUGUGCGAGUCCACGGGUGGGUAAACCUGCCGGCGCAGUGAAAGCGACUGCUGGGAUCUUUGCACCAGCAACCGACCAAUCAAUCGAGAGAGGUUUGAGUAUGAGCAUAUCUGUUAGGACCCGAAAGAUGGUGAACUAUGCCUGAGAAGGGCAAACUCAGGGGAAACUCUGAUGGAGGCUCGUAGCGAUACUGACGUGCAAAUCGUUCGUCAUACUUGGGUA
This 933-nucleotide ribosomal RNA is filed under the name Prorocentrum elegans. RNAcentral describes it as "partial large subunit ribosomal RNA". It matches the Rfam family "Eukaryotic large subunit ribosomal RNA", at positions 52 to 917 of the family's 3401-position model. The record is from RNAcentral. Lineage: Eukaryota; Dinophyceae; Prorocentrales; Prorocentraceae.